AUAGCGUAUAUUAAAGUUGUUGCAGUUAAAAAGCUCGUAGUUGAAUUUUGGGCCUGGCUGGGUGGUCUUGCCGAAAGGUUAGUACUGCUCGGGCUGGGCCUUUCCUUCUGGGGAACUAGUGUGCUCUUAAUUGGGUGCGUUAGGGAACCAGAACUUUUACUUUGAAAAAAUUAGAGUGUUUAAAGCAGGCCUACGCUUGAAUACAUUAGCAUGGAAUAAUAGAAUAGGACUUUGGUUCUAUUUUGUUGGUUUCUAGGACCGAAGUAAUGAUUAAUAGGGAUAGUUGGGGGCAUUAGUAUUUAAUUGUCAGAGGUGAAAUUCUUGGAUUUAUGAAAGACUAACUUCUG
This 347-nucleotide ribosomal RNA is filed under the name Powellomyces hirtus. Its description in RNAcentral is "SSU rRNA". It matches the Rfam family "Eukaryotic small subunit ribosomal RNA", at positions 594 to 945 of the family's 1831-position model. The record is from RNAcentral. Lineage: Eukaryota; Fungi; Chytridiomycota; Chytridiomycetes; Spizellomycetales; Powellomycetaceae.